GUCCUGGCCCUAACGGUGCAUGUUUGCUGUAAGAGGAAUCGACCCCUUUGUGGCGAAGCUAACGCGUUAAACAUGCCGCCUGGGAAGUACGGCCGCAAGGUUAAACUCAAAGAAUUGACGGGGCCGUGCACAAGCGGUGGAGUAUGUGGCUUAAUUCGAUGCAACGCGAAGAACCUUACCUGGCCUUGACAUGCAUCUAGUAGAAGGGUGAAAGCCUGACGAGGUAGCAAUACCAGGAUGCACAGGUGCUGCAUGGCUGUCGU
RNAcentral lists this ribosomal RNA (263 nucleotides) under uncultured bacterium. Its description in RNAcentral is "partial 16S ribosomal RNA". It matches the Rfam family "Bacterial small subunit ribosomal RNA", at positions 793 to 1055 of the family's 1533-position model. The record is from RNAcentral.